RNAcentral lists this unclassified non-coding RNA (252 nucleotides) under Glomeraceae sp. RNAcentral describes it as "partial contains 5.8S ribosomal RNA and internal transcribed spacer 2". The stretch from base 1 to 65 matches the Rfam family "5.8S ribosomal RNA", at positions 84 to 154 of the family's 154-position model. Lineage: Eukaryota; Fungi; Glomeromycota; Glomeromycetes; Glomerales; Glomeraceae. The record is from RNAcentral.
GUGAAUCAUCGAAUUUUUGAACGCAAAUUGCACUCUCUUCGGAGAGUAUGCCUGUUUGAGGGUCAGCAUUUAUAAAAAUCGGUUUGUUGCUUCUUUGUGACGCCGCGGAGUUUGGGUCAUCUUAAUAUACUUUAUUUUUUAAUAGGCUUAAAAUUGUCUUUUUUUGCUCAUUUUAGAUGUACAUAAAUUCUUUUUUUUAUUCGUCUGUCUUAAUGCUCAUAAUCAUAUGAGAUGCGAAUAUAUCGUGUGGUU